Molecule: long non-coding RNA, 882 nt
Organism: Cebus imitator (Panamanian white-faced capuchin)
Lineage: Eukaryota; Metazoa; Chordata; Mammalia; Primates; Cebidae
Exons: 3
Source: RefSeq, a predicted model, not a curated record
AGGGUUCCCCAAAGCUCGCUCGGUGGACGUCACUUGCUCAACAGUCAACAUCAUCCAUAUCUCUCAUUCCACAGACACUGGCUGCCCAGCAAGGGCCUGGCGGCAGGAGGUAGGAGAAGACACAGAUUUCAGCUCCACGUCUGGCUUCCCUCAGGGUCUCUCCCGGGGCUCUCUCAACUCAGAUGGCAGUGCCAGACCCCAGGCCACGCCUUGUCUGCAGGCCUUGCCUGGACUGUGGUAACAGCCAGAAUGCAACAAUUUCUCAAUGUCAGCCUCCGUGGCACGGAGACCCACAGGCACCCUCAUCUGCCGGCACGCACGGACGCAGUAAGUCCAGAGUGCCAAGUGGGAAAUCAAACUGCUUUUCCUGCCCAGGAAACAGAAACAACCACUGCAGAGCGAUCGCCGAUGGCCACGGCUGGCCUCGAGGAGCCAGUGUCCUAUUAGGGUGUCUGGUUUGCCUCCGAUUAUCCAGCAAAUAAACCAAUUUAGGAGCCCGCCAGGGUCUUUCUAGCCACCUCUCCAGGGCCCUGGCUGGGCCGCUCCUGUCCUCAUUUCCAUACAGCCAGUAUUCUCAGUGAGAUGAAGAAAUGUCAUUAUUUACCAAGAAAGCAAGGUCUGAAAAUGGCAAUUACUUGGCAGGUCAGCAGAAGGCCCCGGGGUCCUGCUCUCUGCAGGAUUCAGCCGGCAGCUCGGAGCUGGAAGACGCAGCCAGUGCCUACCCCAGGUUUCCACCCUCCGUGGACUCACAUCUCGUUGGUUUACAAAACCGAGCAUGUAUUCCCCCCACGAUACAUAUUCAUGCCUUAAAAUGUAAGUCUAUUGCAUACGUUAUAAAGCACACGCUGAAAAGUGACACGUAAAAUGCAGAUGUAAACGUGA